Panicum hallii is the source of this 892-nucleotide long non-coding RNA. RefSeq lists it as uncharacterized. NCBI's taxonomy places the organism in Eukaryota, Viridiplantae, Streptophyta, Magnoliopsida, Poales, Poaceae. The transcript is spliced from 3 exons. The record is from RefSeq and is a predicted model, not a curated record.
CCUGGUGGUGGUGGAAGGCCGUCUUCCCCACCCGGCUGCCGCCGCCGCCGCCACCGCCCCCUCUACCCUUUCCCUACUCGCCUUCGCUGCACAACUGCAUUCCCCCAUUAGCCGUCGCCUUCUCACCGCGGUGCACCGCUGCGGUUGUUGCUGCCCCUCCCGUAGUGUAACCCUUCCACCCCCACACCCUCCCAAAGCAAAAGGAGAGUUGGCAUGGGGACGCGAUGCGACAGAAUAUGGCGCUAGCGGGGCAGUAGUAGGACCGGCGGCAUAGGGAGGAGACGGCCACCGGGAGUGGCGGCUUGUAAGAGGAGGAGACGGUGGCCGCGUUAGUGCAAGGGGUAGUACAGCACGAUGGCUCCAGUGAGUUUAUUUGGGGCUCCUCUGACAGUAGUGUCUGAUUGGGAAGACAAAUCGCAAUCCAACUUCAGCUGAUAAGGAAAUCAAAUUUGGUGCAAGAUGCAAUGCAAGUUGAAAAAUCAAUGGAUGACUUUGAUGUGGCAGAAAGGGAAACAAAGCAGAGGCUGCAACCCAUUUGCACAGAACAGCUCCAUUCAAAUGUAAUCUCCUGUCUUCAGAUAGAUGACAAAGAUGGGCUAUGUUCUUUCAUGCCUUCAAAGACUGCAUUGAUGAAAGAAUUUGAAGGUUUGCAUCUGUUAUAGUGCUUGCGAAGUUAACAUAUUUUCUAAGAGGUACCCUUGCUCUUCUAUUUUUCUAGGGCUGUUUAGUUUUACCCGUUGACCAUUGACUCCGCUGUUUGGGUAUAUGCUGUUAUAUUAGUUGAACUUGCCAACCAAUUCUUUCAGUGUUUGGAAAGUUGUUAAGUACCUUCUCCAUGAGUAAAGACUCUUGUAUCCACUUCUUCCUAAUCAGCCAUUGUCCAUUCAGUUAA